ACUGGAACACGGUCCAGACUCCUACGGGAGGCAGCAGUGGGGAAUAUUGGACAAUGGGGGCAACCCUGAUCCAGCCAUGCCGCGUGUGUGAAGAAGGCUUUCGGGUUGUAAAGCACUUUCAGUGAGGAGGAAAACCUUAAGUUUAAUACGCUUGAGGCUUGACGUUACUCACAGAAGAAGCACCGGCUAACUCCGUGCCAGCAGCC
RNAcentral lists this ribosomal RNA (206 nucleotides) under Bigelowiella natans. RNAcentral describes it as "partial Bacterial small subunit ribosomal RNA". It matches the Rfam family "Bacterial small subunit ribosomal RNA", at positions 318 to 516 of the family's 1533-position model. The record is from RNAcentral. Lineage: Eukaryota; Cercozoa; Chlorarachniophyceae.